CCGGGUGUGGGGCAGUUUGGUCAGCCCGCCUGCUUUGGGAGCAGGAGUAUCGCAGGUUCAAAUCCUGCCGCCUGGAC
This 77-nucleotide transfer RNA is filed under the name Acrocarpospora pleiomorpha. Its description in RNAcentral is "tRNA-Pro". It matches the Rfam family "tRNA". Rfam says of the family: Transfer RNA (tRNA) molecules are approximately 80 nucleotides in length. Their secondary structure includes four short double-helical elements and three loops (D, anti-codon, and T loops). Further hydrogen bonds mediate the characteristic L-shaped molecular structure. tRNAs have two regions of fundamental functional importance: the anti-codon, which is responsible for specific mRNA codon recognition, and the 3' end, to which the tRNAs corresponding amino acid is attached (by aminoacyl-tRNA synthetases). tRNAs cope with the degeneracy of the genetic code in two manners: having more than one tRNA (with a specific anti-codon) for a particular amino acid; and 'wobble' base-pairing, i.e. permitting non-standard base-pairing at the 3rd anti-codon position. Lineage: Bacteria; Bacillati; Actinomycetota; Actinomycetes; Streptosporangiales; Streptosporangiaceae. The record is from RNAcentral.